Non-coding RNA from Vicugna pacos (alpaca), 199 nucleotides. The record is from Rfam. NCBI's taxonomy places the organism in Eukaryota, Metazoa, Chordata, Mammalia, Artiodactyla, Camelidae.
UGGACUAGUUUUAGGUAUGAAGGAUUCCAUCCACAUCUUGCAACGUCUUUGGACUUUAUAUUUGAAAAUGUGCACGCAUGUGCAUUCAAGAAAGGCAGAGAUGAUGCAUGUUCUCAUGUGAGUGAGUCCGAAACACUGAGGAGGCAGCUGCAGUGAGCUUUGUUAUUACAAUUUUGGCCUGACCUACAAGGUGGAAAAU